RNAcentral lists this unclassified non-coding RNA (2525 nucleotides) under Nilaparvata lugens (brown planthopper). Its description in RNAcentral is "transcriptional regulator IFH1-like, transcript variant X3". The record is from RNAcentral. Lineage: Eukaryota; Metazoa; Arthropoda; Insecta; Hemiptera; Delphacidae.
AGUGACCAUAGGGACUUCUCAGUCCCAGCAACUUAUUCCCUCUAUAUUUCACCAUUCAAGACAACUGCAAUCUUACUGGCCAUUGGGACUUUUUAGUCAUGAUGUUUACUGAUUUUUAGUGUAGUGUUCGUUCGCCAGGUGGCAGCUUUGAAUUUCAGACCAGCUGUUCUCUGGAGUCGUACAGGACGGUUUGCUUCUUGUUGAGUGGUGGAUUUUGUUUUGUUUAUAUCUGGAUGUAUUGUAAAGGUAAGUUCAUAAUCUCUUCAUAUUAUCAAUAUCUUAUUAUUCUACAAAUGCAAUAAUGUUUUAUAGAAAAAUUAUAUCAAAUAGGGAAAAAGAUACAGAUCAAUAAGUAUUUGGGACUUUUCAGUCCCUAUGGGCAGUUCUUGCAAGAAUAUAGUUAGGUUAGCUCAUAGGCCCACUAUUGAUUCUAAAUUCAGUUGGGAGUGUAUGUAUCAAAAUAUAGAUAGUAUUAGAGAUAAUUUCUUUAUAAAACUAUAUUUUUAUGUUACUGGUUUGUUCCAGAUAAUUUUGAGGACUAUAAAUAUUUUGAAUGAGCUUGAAAUAAUUGAAGUAUUCCAUGAGCUGCCAGAUGAUAACAGUUCUGACACUGAUAAAAAUAAUAAAAUAGAAAAUGUAUUGGAUAUAAUUUCCAUAUAAAACUAUAUUUUAUGCUACUGUACUGGUUUGUUUCAGAUAAUUAUGAAGCCUAUAAAUAUUUUGAAUGAGCUGGAAAUAAUUGAAGCAUUUGAAGAGCUGCCAGAUGAUAACAGUGUGGACACUGAUAUCGAAGAUUAUGAUGAAGUAGAACAUGUUGAGGAAGUUGUGAAUAAUUUUGAUCUCAUCUUUCAACAAGAAAUUGAUGCUGCAGCUGUCAACACAAAUAAUGACAAAGAUGAUGAUGAUGAUGAUGAUGCAGAUAAUUUGUCAAUCACAGGAGUUUGUGCCAGCAUUUCUCCAAUUAUUGAAGAUCAGGCUGAUAUUGGUGAUCCAGAUCAGAUUGAUGGUCCAUCCACUUCUUCAGUCCCAUCCAAGCCUGAACCUAAAAAAAGGCUAAGCAAAAAAUUGCAAAAAAGAAAUCUGCGAGAAAAUCUGGUGGAAAGAAAACUACACAUCAGAGAAAAUCAACAGGAAAAAGAGUAGAGCCUGAUCGCAGAUGGAAACAACAGGAAGCUACAACUGUGAUUCCUGACUACUUGGGAAAGAAACCAGGUCCAGUUGAUGGUAUUUUUGAGUCUUCUUCAUCAGCCACCGAUGUAUUUCUGGCAACAUUCGAACCAGCCUUGGACAAUAUUAUCUACCAGAGCAACUUGUAUGCUACACAGAAAGGAAAAAACUUGCAGCUUGAGGCCGAUGAACUGCUCUCAUUUAUUGGAAUUAAUUUUUUCAUGGGCUACCAUGUUAUUCCAGGAUGGAAGAACUAUUGGUCAACAAGUCUGGACCUUGGGAUACCAAUUGUGGCAAAUACAAUGAGUCGAAACAGGUUUGACAUGAUAUUAUCAAAUCUGCAUGUGAAUGACAAUACUUUUAUACCACCACCGGGGACUGACAAAAUUUAUAAAAUUCGUCCUCUGGUAGACUCACUGAACGACCACUUCAUCAAGAUUUAUAAUGUGGGCAGAGAUGUAUCUGUUGAUGAGUCCAUGAUCCUUUUCAAGGGUCGUAGUACUCUGAAACAAUACAAUGCUAUGAAACCCAUCAAGCGUGGGUACAAACUAUGGUGCCUGGCUGACAAGAAGGGUUACAUUUCAAAGUUUGAGAUCUACCAGGGGAAAUCUGUUUCUCCUUUAUGUGAUGAGAGCUUGAAAGAAUUUGGGCAACGUGAGAAAAUUGUUUUGCACCUUACAAAACCGUAUUGGGGAACAAACAUUAGAGUUUUCUUCGAUAAUUAUUAUACCUCAAUUCCUCUUUUAGAGAAAUUGAAGGUGGAAAAAGUAUUAGCUUGUGGGACAAUCCAAGCAAAAAGAGUAGGUCUACCACACUUUGUUGAGGAUUCCAAAUUGAAGAGAGGAGAUUCAGACGAUUGGGUUUCAGGAUUGAAUAUAUCUGCCUUCAAGUGGAUGGACAACAGGGCAGUUCUGUUUGCUUCAAAUUACCACGGGACAGAACAUUCAAGAGUGAAAAGGAGGAACGAGAAUGGUGAAAGAGUUGAAGUGACUUGCCCACUCGUGGUAAAAGACUAUAAUCAAAAUAUGGGAGGAGUAGAUUGUGCUGAUCAGCUCCGUCAAUACUAUAAUGUAAAUAGACGAUCCCGGAAAUGGUGGCACCGACUAUUUUGGGGAAUAGUGGACAUAACAUUUGUCAACUCAUUUGUCAUUUAUAAGGAUCUAUUCCCCAAUGACAGAAAAAGUUUGCUGGAUUCUAGGAGGGAGGUGGCUCUGGGUUUGAUGUCUAAGAAACAAAAAAUAAAUCUGGCAAAACGAAAACGGUCAAAUGAAGUGCCCACCACCUCAAGAAAUGCAAUGCAGCAACCAAAAAGUUGUCAACAAAGGUGGUCAGUUCCUAAUGAUGUAAGAUUAGGUGAC